AAAAAAAUUAGAUCGAGAACCUUAUCUUCUCUCUUCAUCUUCUAAUUCCAAUUCCAUUAAUCCAACAACCAAAUUUCUUCUCUCUUCAACAACCAAUUCCAUUAAUCCAACAACCAAAUUUCUUCAUCUUUACUUCUUUAGAUACGAAUUUGAAACCAUUGAAUUAGAAGAAAAUUGCAAUAGAGAAAGAACAGCAGUACGACACGAAGAAGUAGGAGAAGAUAAGGUUCUCGAUCGACUUCUUCUUGCUCAGAUCUCAUUCAAGUAUUCAACAGGUAACUUCAAACUAAUUCUGAAUCUUCUUUUCUAUACAAAAAUAAACAAAACCCUAGAUUUCUACCUUUUGAUUUGAGAUUCAAUUACAACGAAUUACUUUGGUUUAAUCAUGAGAAUCUUCUAUAAACCGUAGAUUUCUACCUUUUGAUUGCGUGAAACGCUUUCAUCUUGUUCAAACCUUAGCUCAUUUUCUUGGUGGUUGGUAAGAUUAACAAUAUUUUAAAUCUUUUCUUUUCUUCUAAGGGUGUGUUUGAUUGCAAGCAUUUUCCCAAUGUAAUGAGAAAAUUUAUGUGUUUUCUCAGUGGACCAGUGGAAAAGGGGCACUAUUUAUGUGUUUGAUUGUUAACUUAAGCAGUGAGAAAAAGAAAAUCGUAUUUUCCCACUGUAUAGCUAUUUUCUCUAUACAGUGAGAAAACAUUUUCUUACCCUCCCCCUUAGAAUUCCAAAUUAGUGAGAAAAUUGGGUUAUUUUCCCACUAGAGUGAGAAAAGAGGAUGGUUAAUUCCAAACUAGUGAGAAAAUAAUUAGAAUUCCCACUAUCAAUCAAACACCAUAUUUGUGCAGAGUGAGAAUGACUUAAAACAUUUUCUUACUUAAGUGAGAAAAUAUUUUAAGUCAUUCCCACUUAAGUGGGAAAACUAUCUUUAAGUCAUUCUCACUCUCAUUUUUUCUCACUCCGCAAUCAAACGUAGCCUAAAUUAAUUACCCUUUUCUUUUCUUUUAUAUAAUGUAAUAUGUUAAAAAAACCCAAAUCAAAUAAAAAACUUUCAACUUUUGUUUUGGUAUACUGUAUACUGUAUAGUAGUUCUAUUUAUUUAUUUUUUUCAACAACAAACACAUACCAUGCUCGGAUGCUCCAUACCUUUGUAGUGUUGCUUCAGUUCCUUCUUCCUAUUAGAGAGAUAUAUAGAUUGAGAGAGAUGCAGAAGACUACUAAAGUGUUAUUAAAAGCUUUGAAUAUUUACUAGUCUGUAUUUUUUGUUGAUAUUUUGGUCGCUACGUGGUUAAUACCUGACACCUCAUGGCCAAAAAUGAAAUGACAAAAGGAAUGAAUGGUGAGGUUAAGAUAGGUUUGUUGUCACACUGCAUUUAUAUAUAUACCCAUUUAGAGAUUGUCAGAGUACUAGCAGCAAGGUAAAGCGAUGGCCUGUGUUACUAUUAGAGACCAAAACCCCACAUCAUUGAUCUCAUUUUGUACUUGGUGAAAGCAAAUAAGCAAUUCUGCUGAAGCCACAUUCUCAACCAUUUGUGUGUUAUCUUAGAGACUUGACAAUGAAUUCCUACUCUACUCCCUGCUUGUAGAUUGGAAUGGCCAACUCUCUUGUUCCAUAUUUUUUAUAUACUACUGCUAGAUUCCAAAUUCUAAUGUCCCUUUCUUUUAAUUAUUGGCAUGACCACACUCAUGAACAUUGUUCACCAAGUUUUACAUAUGGUUUCAGUGUCCCCUCGACCCCUCUAGCCUCCUGUCCCCAAAUUGAGCUAGCACAAUUCCAAUUAAUAUGCUUUGUGACGACGUGAAACACACAGCAGGAUGACAGGUAGUCAGUUUCAUACUAACCAAAGUUUAUUAAGAAUAAUCUACAGAUAUAGCUGCACAGCCAGAUUAUGUAAUAAUCCCCAAAAGGCUACCUAUAUAUAUAUUGAUUAUAAAUUACUUUUUUCCUUUUUACAAGCAUGUUCAAGUGAAAUAUACAUCAGGAAAGAGCUUUAAGUAGAGGAAGACAACUGCAAAUCCAGUUGAUACAGAACUGGCAUCCCUCAGAUAGAUAUAAUCAAUUUUUAUUCUGAGAAAUAAUCAAAAAUAUAUUUUUUUAUGGUUGGAUUUUCACAUAUAUGUAUCAUUGUUCUUGUAGGGUUUGGAACUCUUGAAGACAUCUCUUCCGUCCAAGGCAGUUCUUUCUCAGAUUUUCCUUAGAAAGAAUGCGACAACAUGAAGAUGGUUAGCUAUGAUGGGCUUGUUAUAACUUUUUGGUGUGCGGAACUAUGAUGGAUUGUUUGGUGUGCGGGAUUAGUCCACUAGAGAAUACUUAUUUAUGUUUUAAUGUUUGUGUUUUAUUACUAGUCUACUAGAAGAUGUUGUUUGGUUUGUUAAUUUGCGACAUUGGAGUGUUUUUAUAGUGAAAUAUUGUUGUUUACAAUGUAUUAUUACAGUAAAU
Molecule: long non-coding RNA, 2431 nt
Filed under: Aquilegia coerulea
Lineage: Eukaryota; Viridiplantae; Streptophyta; Magnoliopsida; Ranunculales; Ranunculaceae
Description: long non-coding RNA (ACOE_LNC001487)
Source: RNAcentral